This is a non-coding RNA of Myotis davidii, 74 nucleotides long. Lineage: Eukaryota; Metazoa; Chordata; Mammalia; Chiroptera; Vespertilionidae. The record is from Rfam.
GGUGGUUACUGGGUGACGCACCCUGGAAUCGGGCUCCCUCCUCAGGUUCUGGGGUGCAUCACCCAAGAACCGCU